This 465-nucleotide ribosomal RNA is filed under the name uncultured Holophagae bacterium. RNAcentral's name for it is "bacterial SSU rRNA". It matches the Rfam family "Bacterial small subunit ribosomal RNA", at positions 338 to 795 of the family's 1533-position model. The record is from RNAcentral. Lineage: Bacteria; Pseudomonadati; Acidobacteriota; Holophagae.
CCUACGGGAGGCUGCAGUGGGGAAUAUUGGACAAUGGGGGAAACCCUGAUCCAGCAACGCCGCGUGGAGGAUGAAGGUCUUCGGAUUGUAAACUCCUGUUAGGGGGGACGAAGGGAUGUCGGCGAACAGUCGGCAAACUUGACGGUACCCCCAGAGGAAGCCCCGGCUAACUCUGUGCCAGCAGCCGCGGUAAUACAGAGGGGGCAAGCGUUAUUCGGAAUUAUUGGGCGUAAAGGGCGCGUAGGCGGCCUUGUAAGUCUUGGGUGAAAUCCCUCAGCUCAACUGAGGAACUGCCUCGGAUACUGCAAGGCUUGAGGCCGGGAGAGGGUAGUGGAAUUCCCAGUGUAGCGGUGAAAUGCGUAGAUAUUGGGAGGAACACCGGUGGCGAAGGCGGCUACCUGGACCGGUUCUGACGCUGAUGCGCGAAAGCGUGGGGAGCAAACAGGAUUAGAUACCCCGGUAGUC